Zophobas morio is the source of this 4131-nucleotide long non-coding RNA. RefSeq lists it as uncharacterized. The transcript has 3 exons. NCBI's taxonomy places the organism in Eukaryota, Metazoa, Arthropoda, Insecta, Coleoptera, Tenebrionidae. The record is from RefSeq and is a predicted model, not a curated record.
CGAUAAAUUCGAUAUUGAUGGUUUGACGAUUCGGAGCUCUAUUUACCACGUACAACUUCAAGCCGUUCACGAUCUUGUGGUUCAGAUCGCUGAUCACUGAGUCGGUGAAUUUUUCGAUAAGACUCUGUGGAAGUAUUGUUCUAGACUCUUCAAGUUGCACAAAUAUCUUGUCACCGUACUUUGUAGACAGUUUACUAAAAUUUUUUGUUAAAAAUUUUUUAUUUUGGCACUCACAAAAGCUUGCAAGUGAGACUCUUUAUUCAAGGUAGAAAUGAAAGAUGACAUUUCGACUUUACAAAGUGUUAAAUAAUUGAAUUAAAAAAACUAAUUAAUUCCUACAGACGAAUACAUCGACUUUUAUACAAGUAUAAAAUGGAAGUGGGGAUGUGAGAUUGCGUCCGAGUGUAAGAUCCCUCCCCAACCUAAAAGAAAAGAGGGGAUAGAACUCGAGAUUGAACGACCUAGACCUAAGAGGUCGAUAAACGACCAAGGUCAGCCACGUGUAGCGACUAGGUCAACAACAGACCAAAGCUCAAUGAUCGCCCGAUGAAACGUAAUGGGGGAGCUGGCUCAGCUUGACCUGAUUUGACCUGGCAUAGAAUCCCGACCCGACCAAGGUAAGCCACGUGCAGCGACUAGGUCAACAACAACCCAAAGGUCAAUGACCGUCCAAUGAAAAGUAAUGGGGGAGCUGGAGCAGUUUGACCUCAUUUGACCUGAUCUAGAACCCCCCCUAUAUAAUACCUACUCUAUGUGUUAUAAUAAUUUCACUAAACGUAGUGAAAUUUAUUUUUUAGACGACUUGUCUUGAAAGUGACACAUAUCAAUAUUGUAGCCUACUUUAGAAAGUUGAAAAUUUCAGAGACCGAUGCGGAUAUGAAAUUUAUCAUGCACGGUGCAUGAUAAGAGUUAGUAGAGUUAUGUUUACAAAGUUCAUCAAGACAAUUCAGUUUUAUUGAAAUUUUAACAUUGUCAAACAAUGAUCAAUUACAAAUUUAUUGCCUUUCGUUAAGUAAAUUGAAGGUUACAUUACUGAAAGAACAGUUAUUGAAAUUUAUUGGACUUCUGGGACUUUUCAAAAUCAUCCAGUAAACCUGCCACGGUUGUUGAGGAUGUUGUAAAAAUUGAGGUGGAUGGCAACAUUUGACUAUCGGAAUCAUCUUGUGGGCGAUUUUCAGACGAAUUUCUUAUGGCUGUAAUGAUUUUGUCAGCCACUUUUAUUUUGUGUCCAAUGGAUGUAACCUUCCGCAACAGAAGUAGAAACCCAUCCUCCGUGACGCUUAAGAUCUUCCAUACUGCCAUCUGCAUCCAUAAAAAUUGUAGACAAUGAUCGCCUCAGACAGUGGCCUGUGAAAGCUGCAGGCUGUUCUAAACCCAAAUUAGCAGCAAUUAGUUUGGGUAUACCACUAAUUUUGUUAAUUCCCACGGGUUGUUUAGUGCAUUUGGAAUUCUGAUAGUUUAAAAACAGCCGACGUUCAGUCAUGGUUGGCUUCAACUACUGAUGGAGGUGCGAGUUGUAAAACAUCGUCUUCGUUAUCGCUAACCAUCUGCAUCUGCAUUAAUUCUUCUAACAAAUUCAUUUAAAAUUCAUUUGUGCAAUACUAGUUGGACAAAAUGACAAAACUGUCGAAACAAUUAAAUUUUCAAAACAGUAAAGAAUCCAUAGCAACGUGCUCGUGGCCAACAUGAAUAAAAUUAAAAAAUGGUGUCGCUUGUUUUUAAACAUUUUAUGCAUACAAAAAUAAUGCUUAUUUUCUUGUUCAAGUCGUCUAAAAAAUAGUGUUCACAACUCGUGUUGAAAGUGACUAUCAUGCUCGUGCUUCUUUAUCCGAACUUGGCUUCGCCUUGUUCGUCUAACUGCACUCACAUGAUAUCUUUCACUUUCGACACUCGUUAUGAAAUAUACUAUUUCCAUCUUCAAUUGAACACACAGAACACAACACGAUUAGGUAUUAUUUGACAAAUAUUUUGCAAAAAACUUGUUUAUGUUUAAACAAUUGCAUUCGCAAUACCUACUACUCAACGAUAUGAUUUUCGAAUGUGCUGCGAUUUAUAAAUAUGACGAAAAUCUUAAUUGCUGAAAGAUCUAAAAGACGCCGUUAGGAAAAACAUGGACUCGUUUCGGAAUCGCUGACUUCCCACACUUGUUAGGAAAAUACCUAUUUUUGCUGUUGUCAUUACGGAGGAGCUAGCUGCUAGAUGGUAUAACUGUGUUAUCAUCUUUUAACUUCCCCUCAGUGUUUAAUGAAAUAAAAGGUAUGUUCUGCCAACUGUCGUGAAAAUAAUCAGAUUUUGAAUGUGCUGUGUUUUUAUGAAAAGGGGGUAAAGUAGAAAAAAUACUAUAUGAUACUCGUUCAUACAUUUUUUCGCACUUAUAAAACUCGUAUCAUAAAAUACUAUUUUCUCACUAAUAAAAAAAUAAUGUUGAGUAAAUGUUCAUUUUCAAAUAGUUGGUUCAUGAUAUUUAUUUAAUAUUAAGGCGGCCACACACAGAGAGAGGGAAGACUGCGCAGUUAAAAGUAUGCACGCUUGUCUUAAGUAAAACCCGUACUCUCUCAUUGCACACACACACUCAUACUUCCCCGUCAGUUCUGUAACAAAUGUGCAUCGCAAUGCUAACGAACAAAAAUGUUUAUUUCAUUACAGUGACGUGCAUUUGUAUUAUAUAAAAAAAAUAUAAUCAGACGUCAUUUAAAAAUACGGCGCUAAUGAAUUAAAACUCAAGCGUGCAGCGACUUGUCUCCACACGCACGGGGUUUUCCCCGCGCAGUUAUAACGCUUUAAUUGUUGUCAAUAAAAAAAUUAAAAUGAAAUUAAUUUUACGAUGCUGGUAAUAUGCUACAUGGGGAUAUUAUACCUCGUACAAGUUAUAGAAAUAAAUGCGGGUGUUUACUGGCGAAUCAGAUCGUCCGGAGAAGAAGGGUAUCUAAUUAAAAUUUUAAAAGGUCAGAGUUACGAGAUCACGGUUGUUACUGGAUAGCAGGUAUGAGGUGUUCGCCAGACACCUCACCGUACUCAUAUUACCACCAUAUGUGUAGUAAUUAAGUUAAUCUAAGUUGGUAAUGAAAUGGGGAUAAAAAUUAAAGAUCCAGUGUAUGUAGAAUUUAGGUAAACAUAGGUGCAUUUUUAUUGCAACGAAUUAACAUCAUUUUCUUUAUGUCCCAUGGGAUACCACAACGAGAGACAAACGACAACGUCCUGGAAACAUCGAACUAUCCUAGUAGUAGGGCACAGGGAGGAGUAGGGUCACUUUUGAGCAUCACUUUCGAGAAGAGCGGACGCGGGGCGACGAGUCCGUCAAUGAGCCCACAUUUGGAGAUGAACGAUCCACAUUUGACAACAAACUAAGAAGAAUCCGAUCUUGUUGAAAACUAAUUUCGCUUGUCCACAACGUAAAGAGUCUUACUUUGAAGAAGAAUCGAAGUGGGAAUGCGUAGCGGACGAAAUUCCUGAACAGAGCUGAAAAACAGGGAAAGAAGAUGGGAUGGCAGAUGAUCUGAAAAAUUCGCGACUUGUAGAAACUAGUGAUAGUGAAACGAAAGAGAACAGGAAUCGACAUGAGUCAGGGCAACUUGCAGAAAUUAAGUGGCAUCUCACCGUGUAAACAAGAGCAAAAUUAGGGUAGAAUUGUAAGAUGUUAGGGUAGCCUAAUUUUAGGAAAUUAUUGUCGGGACGAUAAUCUUGAAGGGCCGGCAAAUGUGACAAUUAGCAUCAAGUUGCAAAAAGUAAGUUUGGUUGAUGCCAGGUAUUUCGCCAAAAACGACGAAAUGCUUGGGCCGGCAGAGGGUACCUGGAGAAUAGCAAAUCGAGGACAUAUUAUUAGACAAUUGAAAGUGUAGCGGGCUUGACGAAAGUUCGCGGGUGGGAUUGUGCGUGUCCCUCAAGACUUUCGUACAAUAUGAGAAUGAGGAUGUAGGUAUGAAAGUCAAUAUAUAAGUUUUGUACUUAGGUUAGAUAAUAAUAAAUCUUAGAAUAGGAGAUACAGUUUUUGAUCACAACAUCUCCUAUGGUCUCAGGAGGUGGAGACAUGGUGAAAUGCUUGAACAAGAGAACGACAGAAAACGAACAGAAACAGGGAAGAUUUUAAGAAGAAGUAAACAAUAUAAUAAUAAUAAUAAUAUUUAUUUAUCU